RNAcentral lists this ribosomal RNA (313 nucleotides) under uncultured soil bacterium. RNAcentral describes it as "bacterial SSU rRNA". It matches the Rfam family "Bacterial small subunit ribosomal RNA", at positions 1082 to 1397 of the family's 1533-position model. The record is from RNAcentral.
AAGUCCCGUAACGAGCGCAACCCUCGCCUUUAGUUGCCAUCAUUUAGUUGGGCACUCUAAAGGGACCGCCGGCGACAAGCCGGAGGAAGGUGGGGAUGACGUCAAGUCCUCAUGGCCCUUACGGCCUGGGCUACACACGUGCUACAAUGGCGGUGACAGUGGGCAGCGACCACGCGAGUGGAUGCGAAUCCCAAAAAACCGUCCCAGUUCAGAUUGCACUCUGCAACUCGGGUGCAUGAAGGUGGAAUCGCUAGUAAUCGCAGAACAGCAGGCUGCGGUGAAUACGUUCCCGGGCCUUGUACACACCGCCCGU